GAUUCUGGUAUUUACGCAAUGAUGUUUGUUGAGUAUUGGAAAUCACCCAGGACGGUGCUGCGUAACAUAUUUGAGUCAUCAGAUAUCAAGAAUAGAAGAGUGAAAAUUGCCAACGAUCUCCUGUUCCUCCCCGGAAAUUCUGGAAUGAAGAGCCGCGUUAUCGAAUACGGCACAUGAGGCUACUAAUAAAGAUGUGAAGUUCAAUUUUCCCAGGAAUAUCAAUCACAAGGAUCUGUUCCCUUUUUUUCAUGCUUCAAUGCUUGAGGAUAUGAUAUCGUAGUAUAGAUAUAGUUUUUACUUUUUGGUAUCGAAUGACAGUGUAAUAAUAGUCUGUCAUUUUAUCUGCGCAAACUAGUACAUAGCAGGUUAUCACAAUAUGAAAACAGAACCUAUGUCAUUUUUAUAUCAUAUCGAGCAUCUGUCACUAGAAUAGUUCUUCUUAUGCCUUCCCCCCUGCCCCUUUCCCCCUAAAUCUUUCUUUUCAGCUUUUCAUUCUUUUUUGCAUUCUUCACUUUUUGACUUGCUGCCAAUGUAUCCUGCUGCCCUUUUUCAUCUUCUUCGCGGCUUCCCCACUUGGACCUGCAAAAGACAAAUGUAUAGGCUACAUUAGUCUCUGGUAAUAGUUAUACUAUUUUUUCCAUCGUUUUUUACUCACUUCGCUUUGCUUCUUGUUCCCUUUCCUCACAUUCUUCUUGCCUUUACCAUCUGGACAUGUUAAACCUAAAAUAAUUAUGGUUUAUUAAAUCAUCCGCAAAAUAGUAUUUUCAUGUGUCGUUUUUUUACUGACAUUGUGUUAUCUUACUUGUUGCCUUUUUCUUCUUGUUCUCCUUCUUCUUUUCUUCUUUUGCCAUUUUUUUGUCUUAUCUCUUCUAUAAGCGGAUUCAGUCUUGUGGGCAAUGCUGGUCUGCCCUUCUGCUUCACCCUAUCUGGGUCAUGGAGUUCUACAAGUUCAAAUAGCAAAAAAUCAAGUACGCUAUCUAAUUUGUCAAAUUCUCCAUUCAGGUACAAUUUCUAGUAGUGGAUGCCAUCCUUAUUGAACUUCCCACAAAUACAAGUGAAUUCUUCUUUUCCCUUUGUCAGGUUAGUAAGCACAAUAUACUUCCUCAUUCUGUAUGGUUUGUAGAUUUGGUUAUUCUUUGGCCAAACCUCAAAGCAUCUCCCCUCCUCUGUUUCCUUAAUACUUCAGCCUUUCUGUUUGUUGAAGUUGGUACUGGAAUUUCUUAAAUAUAUUCCUGUUAUAUAGUUCAACUACCUGCUGUCGGUGUUUUACCGGCUGCCCACCGAGGGAUAUACCCGAGGUGGUAAGUUUAGGUGAGGAGACGCCGAGAUCAGGAACUCGAAGGUGCAAGGAACACAAGACUUAGACAGGUUCGGGCCGCGAGAAGAACUGACUGAUGACGCCGCACUCACCCGAGUCAGGCGAGUGCUGCUGGACGUGGAUGCGGUUCCCUACGUCCCUCAGCUAUUUUUAGCAUAAAAUCCUCCAAAACCGGGACACACAGAGUUGUACCGGAGCUACCCUCCACAACCCGACAUCCCUCGACCGGACCAC
Panicum hallii is the source of this 1552-nucleotide long non-coding RNA. RefSeq lists it as uncharacterized. The record is from RefSeq and is a predicted model, not a curated record. The transcript has 7 exons. Lineage: Eukaryota; Viridiplantae; Streptophyta; Magnoliopsida; Poales; Poaceae.